GGUUUGAUCCUGGCUCAGAUUGAACGCUGGCGGAAUGCUUUACACAUGCAAGUCGAACGGCAGCACGGGGGCAACCCUGGUGGCGAGUGGCGAACGGGUGAGUAAUACAUCGGAACGUGCCCAGUCGUGGGGGAUAACGUAGCGAAAGUUACGCUAAUACCGCAUACGAUCUACGGAUGAAAGCGGGGGAUCGCAAGACCUCGCGCGAUUGGAGCGGCCGAUGUCAGAUUAGGUUGUUGGUGAGGUAAAGGCUCACCAAGCCGACGAUCUGUAGCUGGUCUGAGAGGACGACCAGCCACACUGGGACUGAGACACGGUCCAGACUCCUACGGGAGGCAGCAGUGGGGAAUUUUGGACAAUGGGGGCAACCCUGAUCCAGCCAUUCCGCGUGAGUGAAGAAGGCCUUCGGGUUGUAAAGCUCUUUCGCAAGGGAAGAAAACUUAUGAUCGAAUAAAUCAUGAGGUUGACGGUACCUUGAUAAGAAGCACCGGCUAACUACGUGCCAGCAGCCGCGGUAAUACGUAGGGUGCGAGCGUUAAUCGGAAUUACUGGGCGUAAAGCGUGCGCAGGCGGUUUUGUAAGUCGGAUGUGAAAUCCCCGGGCUCAACCUGGGAACUGCGUUCGAAACUGCAAGGCUAGAGUGUGUCAGAGGGGGGUAGAAUUCCACGUGUAGCAGUGAAAUGCGUAGAGAUGUGGAGGAAUACCAAUGGCGAAGGCAGCCCCCUGGGAUAACACUGACGCUCAUGCACGAAAGCGUGGGGAGCAAACAGGAUUAGAUACCCUGGUAGUCCACGCCCUAAACGAUGUCAACUAGUUGUUGGUAGAGUAAAAUCUAUGAGUAACGUAGCUAACGCGUGAAAGUUGACCGCCUGGGGAGUACGGUCGCAAGAUUAAAACUCAAAGGAAUUGACGGGGCCCCGCACAAGCAGCGGAGCAUGCGGCUUAAUUCGACGCAACGCGAAGAACCUUACCAAGGCUUGACAUAUACAGGAAUAUGGCAGAGAUGUCAUAGCGGUAAAACGUCUGUAUACAGGUGGUGCAUGGUUGUCGUCAGCUCGUGUCGUGAGAUGUUGGGUUAAGUCCCGCAACGAGCGCAACCCUCGUUCUGUGUUGCCAGCAUUUAGUUGGGGACUCACAGGAGACUGCCGGGGUUAACUCGGAGGAAGGUGGGGAUGACGUCAAAUCAUCAUGCCCCUUAUGUCUUGGGCUGCACGCAUGCUACAAUGGCUGGUACAAAGGGCUGCAAUACUGCAAAGUGGAGCGAAUCCCAAAAAGCCAGUCUCAGUUCGGAUUGGGGUCUGCAACUCGACCCCAUGAAGUCGGAGUUGCUAGUAAUCGUAGAUCAGCAACGCUACGGUGAAUACGUUCCCGGGGCUUGUACACACCGCCCGUCACAUCACGAAAGUCGGUAACACCCAAAGUCAGUGGCCCAACCGCAAGGAGGGAGCUGCCAAAGGUGGGAUCGGUGAUUGGGAUGAAGUCGUAACAA
RNAcentral lists this ribosomal RNA (1489 nucleotides) under uncultured bacterium. Its description in RNAcentral is "partial 16S ribosomal RNA". It matches the Rfam family "Bacterial small subunit ribosomal RNA". The record is from RNAcentral.